RNAcentral lists this ribosomal RNA (449 nucleotides) under uncultured bacterium. RNAcentral's name for it is "partial 16S ribosomal RNA". It matches the Rfam family "Bacterial small subunit ribosomal RNA", at positions 29 to 523 of the family's 1533-position model. The record is from RNAcentral.
AACGAACGCUGGCGGCAUGCCUAACACAUGCAAGUCGAACGAAGCCUUCGAGCUUAGUGGCGCACGGGUGCGUAACGCGUGGGAAUCUGCCCUUAGGUACGGAAUAACUCAGGGAAACUUGUGCUAAUACCGUAUGAUGUCGCGAGACCAAAGAUUUAUCGCCUAGGGAUGAGCCCGCGUUGGAUUAGCUAGUUGGUGAGGUAAAGGCUCACCAAGGCGACGAUCCAUAGCUGGUCUGAGAGGAUGAUCAGCCACACUGGGACUGAGACACGGCCCAGACUCCUACGGGAGGCAGCAGUGGGGAAUAUUGGACAAUGGGCGAAAGCCUGAUCCAGCAAUGCCGCGUGAGUGAAGAAGGCCUUCGGGUUGUAAAGCUCUUUUACCCGGGAAGAUAAUGACUGUACCGGGAGAAUAAGCCCCGGCUAACUCCGUGCCAGCAGCCGCAGUAA